CCUACGGGAGGCAGCAGUGAGGAAUAUUGGUCAAUGGGCGUAAGCCUGAACCAGCCAUCCCGCGUGCAGGAAGAAGGCGCUAUGCGUCGUAAACUGCUUUUCCAGGGGAAGAAAACCCGCUACGUGUAGUGGCUUGCCGGUACCCUGGGAAUAAGCAUCGGCUAACUCCGUGCCAGCAGCCGCGGUAAUACGGAGGAUGCGAGCGUUAUUCUGAUUUAUUGGGUCUUAGGGGUGUGAAGACGGAUGAAGAGAAAACCUUCAGCUUAACUGGAGACUUGCCAUUGAUACUGUUAGUCUUGAGUACGGUCAAGGUAGGCGGAAUGUGUAAUGUAGCGGUGAAAUGCUUAGAUAUUACACAGAACACCGAUUGCGAAGGCAGCUUACUGGGCCAUUACUGACGCUGAUGCACGAAAGCGUGGGGAGCGAACAGGAUUAGAUACCCCAGUAGUC
RNAcentral lists this ribosomal RNA (450 nucleotides) under uncultured bacterium. RNAcentral's name for it is "partial 16S ribosomal RNA". It matches the Rfam family "Bacterial small subunit ribosomal RNA", at positions 338 to 795 of the family's 1533-position model. The record is from RNAcentral.